UACGAAGGGGGCUAGCGUUGCUCGGAAUUACUGGGCGUAAAGGGCGCGUAGGCGGCUGUGUUAGUCAGGCGUGAAAUUCCUGGGCUCAACCUGGGGACUGCGCUUGAUACGGCAUGGCUUGAGGAUGGAAGAGGCUCGCGGAAUUCCCAGUGUAGAGGUGAAAUUCGUAGAUAUUGGGAAGAACACCGGUGGCGAAGGCGGCGAGCUGGUCCAUUACUGACGCUGAGGCGCGACAGCGUGGGGAGCAAACAGG
Molecule: ribosomal RNA, 253 nt
Filed under: uncultured bacterium
Lineage: Bacteria
Description: partial 16S ribosomal RNA
Rfam family: Bacterial small subunit ribosomal RNA
Source: RNAcentral